UCACAAGGAUACUAAUUGUAUGCUUUGUUUGUGGUUGUGCUUUGUUUGCCAUUGUUACUCCUUUAUGGAGAUCUAUGUUCUAUCAAGUUCCCCUGUUGUUGGGAAAUCUUUAUUUGCAGGGAAUGAAAGCUUCUUUGGUGUUUAUGGAUUUGCUGUUGCAUCUUGUUUGGACAUGCUAUCUUCUAAAACCCUUGAAGUUCCCUUGCGAGACAUUUCUAUCGCUUAUCGUUCUAGCACCUACACGUUGGUAGCAGAAGAUAUUGUAGCGAAGACUGCCUUAUCAUUGAAUAACGCCCUCUUGUUGGCGUGGAACGAAGACUCUUUGGUUUUGCAAUUGUUCAUGGACUCCCAGUUCAGUGUAAAAUCUUUCAAGUCACUCGAAGUCACCGUUGAGCUAGGAAGAAUUCUGCUUGUUUUAAGCUUCUUUCACCUUCGGUUUAUCCCCAUGUUUUUUGCAUUAUUCUCUUAUACUGCGUUUGUGUUUGCAGUUCUUUCAGUUUUUAGUGAUGUGUUUUACUCUUGUAAUGGAGACUAAAUUAUUUCUAUAUCUAUAAAAUCAGUUUGAUAAAAAAAAAAAAACUGAACAAAUUUUAUUUGGU
RNAcentral lists this small RNA (599 nucleotides) under Arabidopsis thaliana (thale cress). Its description in RNAcentral is "ATSL236920". The record is from RNAcentral. Lineage: Eukaryota; Viridiplantae; Streptophyta; Magnoliopsida; Brassicales; Brassicaceae.